RNAcentral lists this ribosomal RNA (1234 nucleotides) under human gut metagenome. RNAcentral describes it as "bacterial LSU rRNA". It matches the Rfam family "Bacterial large subunit ribosomal RNA", at positions 1337 to 2619 of the family's 2925-position model. The record is from RNAcentral.
UCGAAAGUCUAAGGUUUCCUGGGGAAGGUUCGUCCGCCCAGGGUAAGUCGGGACCUAAGGAGAGGCCGAGAAGGCGUAUCUGAUGGACAGCAGGUUGAAAUUCCUGCACUACCGAUACUUUAAAAAACGUCAAGGGACGCAGGAGAGGAAGGAAAGCGAGGAAGAGGAAAGACUCGUAUCGAAAGAUAUAGUGAAAAAAUGAAGUAACGAAUUUCCAAGAAUCACACUGACGAGAAAAGCUUGAUGACAUUAAGUAAAGGUACCCGUACCGCAAACCGACACAGGUAGAUGAGGAGAGGAUCCUAAGACGAACGGGAGAAGCAUUGUUAAGGAACUCGGCAAAAUGACCCCGUAACUUCGGGAGAAGGGGAACCUAGGUAAAACUAGGUCGCAGAGAAAAGGCCCAAGCAACUGUUUAACAAAAACACAGGUUUCUGCUAAAUCGAAAGAUGAAGUAUAGGAGCUGACGCCUGCCCAGUGCUGGAAGGUCAAGGGGAGAUGUUAGAAGAAAUUCGAAGCAUAGAACCAAAGCCCCAGUGAACGGCGGCCGUAACUAUAACGGUCCUAAGGUAGCGAAAUUCCUUGUCAGGUAAGUUCUGACCCGCACGAAAGGCGUAAUGAUUUGGGCACUGUCUCGACAAUGUACCCGGCGAAAUUGUAGUACUAGUGAAGAUGCUAGUUACCUGCGACAAGACAGAAAGACCCCAUGGAGCUUUACUGUAGUUUGAUAUUGGGUUUUGGUAAUUUAUGUACAGGAUAGGUGGGAGACAGAGAAGGAUGUGCGUCAGCAUAUCUGGAGUCAACGUUGGGAUACCACUCUUAAGUUAUUGAAAUUCUAACUUGUGAUCAUAAACUGGUCAGAGGACAAUGUCAGACGGGCAGUUUGACUGGGGCGGUCGCCUCCAAAAGAGUAACGGAGGCGCCCAAAGGUUCCCUCAGUGCGGACAGAAAUCGCACAAAAGAGUGUAAAGGCAGAAGGGAGCUUAACUGGAAGAUAGACAUAUCGAGCAGAUACGAAAGUAGGGCUUAGUGAUCCGGUGGAAUUGAAUGGAAAAGCCAUCGCUCAACGGACAAAAGUUACCCUGGGGAUAACAGGCUUAUCUCCCCCAAGAGUUCACAUCGACGGGGAGGUUUGGCACCUCGAUGUCGGCUCAUCGCAUCCUGGAGCUGAAGUCGGUUCCAAGGGUUGGGCUGUUCGCCCAUUAAAGCGGUACGCGAGCUGGGUUCAGAACGU